Molecule: long non-coding RNA, 7825 nt
Organism: Symphalangus syndactylus (siamang)
Lineage: Eukaryota; Metazoa; Chordata; Mammalia; Primates; Hylobatidae
Source: RefSeq, a predicted model, not a curated record
UUGGUUUUUUGUCCUUGCGAUAGUUUAAUGUUGCAUAUUAAGAAAAGUUCACAGCUAUUCUCAUUUCAGAUUUUCUGUGUAAUAGGAAAGAGAUGCCGAGGCCUGCCCUAAUUUGUUCUUCUUUGACUGCAGCUGCUUGGCUGCUGUUUGGUUCCCAUUUCCUCCUUCCUCCAAAACUGGGUGCUCACAGCUCAUAUUUAACCUGUGCGCUCCCCUACCAAGUCCAACUACUGAGUUAGAACUUCUGUUCUCCUCCAAACUCAUAUGUAUGUAUUAAUUUCAUUUAAAAAUCCACCAGUACUUUUUUUUUGGCCAUUAAUAUCCAGGGGCAUUCAUGUUCCUAGCUGGUUUAUAUUUGGAUGGUUUUUUCUCUGGAUUACUCCAAAUUUUUGCCUGUUGAAUUGAUGGUCACUUAAAAGACAGAGGAAUUACUGCCAUGUAGAAUUUGGAAGGAAAUAGAAAGGCAAACGAGAAAAAAGAAUUAGCACUAUUCUGCACGGAGAUCUGUGAUGAGAAAAGAGAACCAAACCAAACUCCAAGAUGUUUGUGUAGCUAGUUUGUUAGUUACUUUGAUAUGCUGAUGUCAUAUCAUCACUAUACUGGCAAUUGGAAAAAAUUUAAAUAGGUGCUUGAAUGAUUCUCACUAUAACUUUAUUUUGAUUCCAUCCUUUGUCCACGUUAAUGCACUUUCUCCCAAAUCCUUUGAAGAUUCCGUGGAAUUUCUCAAAUACACAGUGAGGCAUCAGGAAGCCAACAAAGUUUUGUUUUGUUUUGUUUGAGAUGGAGUUUCACUCUUGUUGCCCAGGCGGGAGUGCAAUGGCACAAUCUCGGCUCACUGAAACCUCCGCCUCCUGGGUUCAAGCAAUUCUGCUGCCUCAGCCUCCCAAGUAGCUGAGAUUACAGGCAUGUGCCACCAACCCUGCUAAUUUUUUGUAUUUAAUAAAGACGGGGUUUCACCAUGUUGGUCAGGCUGGUCUCAAACUCCUGACCUCAGUUGAUCCACCCACCUUGGCCUCCUGAAGUCCUGGGAUUACAGGCACGAGCCAUCGCAACCAGCUGCCAAGCAAGUUUUUAAGAAUCCUCCAAUAACCCCCCAAACUCUCCCUUCUAUUUCAGAUAGUGGGACUCUGUGCUGAUGCCAGCAAUUAAAGAAGAAAGAAUAAGAAAGACACUGUGUGAUCUAGUAUUAAUAAGGAAGAUAAUGACAUGCGGUGGGAUCCUCUCUCACAAUGCUGAGAAGCCACAGAGUGCCACAUCUCCCAGCUGGCACACCAUCAUGAAUGUAGAAAACUGAGAUGCGACAGUGUUCCUUUUGCCAGGGCAUCCUAUAUUGUUAGAAAAUGAGAAGUUACACAGUUCAUGUAAGAGAAGACCAGAGUCAAAAACAGGUGAAUGGAUUACAAAACCAAAGCUGAUGCGAUUGGUGUCAUUUACAAAUAUUUGGGAAUCAACCAGUGUGGAAACAGUAUCAUUACUUUCUCGAGGAGCAAGGACUAGAAUCCAUAUGGAAUGAUUCCACAUGUCCACAGAUCUAUCAUGCCACGCUGCAGUCUAGUUUAAAUAAUCAGAAAACAGGAGUUACUCAGGCAUAGCUUUAAUGAAAGUAGCCAUUGCACAAGGUUUUAAAAAACUUGUAUACAUUUUUGUUUUGUUUGAGGCAGGGUCUUCUUCUGCUGCGCAGCCUGGAGUGUAGUGGUGCAAUCAUGGCUCACGACAGCAUUGACCUCCAAGGCUCAAGCAAUCCUCUCUGCUCAGCCUCCUGAGUAGCUAGAACUACAGGCACACUCCACCAUCCCCAGGCUAAUUUUUUUUCGUAGAGAUGGGGUUUCGCCAUGUUGCCCAAGUGGUCUUGAAUUCCUGGGCUCAAGCGACCUGCCUGGCUCUGCCUCCCAAAAUGCUAGGAUUACGGGCAUGAGCCACUGUGUCCUGUCAGUAUACGUGUGUUUUUUUGUUUUGUUUUGUUUUGUUUUGUUUUUGUGACGAAGUCUCACUCUGUCUCCCAGGCUGGAGUGCAGUGGCGCAAUCUCGGCUCACUGCAACCUCCACCUCCCAGGUUCAAGCGAUUCUCCUGCCUCAGCCUCCCGAGUAGCUGGGACUACAGAUUCAUGCCACCACACCAGGCUAAUUUUUGAAUUUUUAAAGUAGAGAUGGUGUUUCACUAUAUUGGCCGGCUGUUCUCAAACUCCUGACCUCAUGAUCCGCCUACCUUGGCCUCCCAAAGUGCUGGGAUUACUGGAGUGAGCCACGACACCCGGCCUCCAGUAUACAUGGUUUAGUGAUUACUAUUUACCUGUAAUAAAAAGCUCCAUGUAAAAAUAUAACAUAAUUUUUCCUCCAUUUUUUAGUUAUUCAGUUAUUCUUGAAUUUCGUGCUUUAAUGGAUAAAUCAUAAUACUCAGCGGACUGGGAAGAAUUCAAACCCCCAAAUCAUGUGGCUACAAGUUUUUAACUUGACAAUUGAGUUGACAAGCCCCACCUCAUCUACAGCACAAACACACAGCCACAGCGUGAAGUCAGUCAGCUGUUAGCUGCACCAGUGGUAGGAUUUCUAGUAGAUUCUGCCUUUCAAAGAUUCACUCUCAUUCUAAAGUGGUAUGCUACACAUAAAACCAUCAAUCUGGCCAGGCGCAGUGGCUCAUGCCUAUAAUCCCAGUACUUUGGGAGGCCGAGGUUGGCAGAUCACUUGAGCUCAGGAGUUCCGGACCAGCCUGGACAACAUAGCGAGACCCCAUCUCUACAAAAAAUAUAAAAAUUAGCUGGGUGUAGUGGCACACACCUGUGGUCCCAGCUACUUGGGGGGCUGAGGUAGGAGGAUCGCUUGAACCCAGGAGGCAGAGGUUGCAGUGAACCAAGAUCACACCACUGGACUCCAGCCUGGAUGAUAGAGGGGACUCUAUCAAAAAAAAACAAAAACAAAACAAAACCAACUUUAUGCCAGAACACGUCAUCUUAAGGAGAACAAAAAUGUUCUGUAUGCACAUACUGCCAACACAUUUUAAAAGGCCCACAUUUUAACAAGUAGAAUAGACAAACUAUCAGACAAGAGAUCAUAAAUUAUAAUGGCUGAAAAAAAUUGUUAAAAUUAUCUAACUCAACAUUCUGCAUGUAGGUUUCUACACAUAAUGUACAUGUAUGGGUGUGUCUACAUAGCUUUUUGAAGGGAAUGGCAUAUGAUGAAGCCCAUUUUUCCAUAGUUAUGAUGGUGUGCUAGCAAAGCAAGAAUAUCAAGGUCUGCAUGUCUGCCAACUCAAUGCAUAGCCCCAAGAGCUUCCUGCAGAGGAAAGCUAGCAUGGAGAAUCCAGUCCAUGUCUGUAGGACAAAACAUUAAUGGUAGAAGGCUGGAGAAACUUGUGGAUGGUUGGCAUUGCAGCUUCAGGGCUGGCAUUCUCUCUGGUUUCAGGUGUGUCUGUUAAUGGAUUCUGUGGUCUCUGACCCAAGUCUUUAACCAAUAUGAAACUGGAUGGCAAGGAGGUGGUCUGCUGAAAAGUCUGAUCGAAUAUAUUCUCCUCGCCUGCUAAAAGCUUGGGUGAAAUGUCUGCACUGAAGGUGCAGUAUAGCUGAUUAGAUGUUUCCUCUGGGAUUAAGGCAACAGAGCUGCUCUGUUUUGUUAAUUCCCUUGACUUGGAGCUAUGUAGCCCACCAUCUGACCUGCCGUCACUUGGAGCCCUGAAGGUAACGUUUUCUACAACUCCUAUGCUAGCAUCAAGUAAGGUAUUUGUUAACUUUAAAAAAAUAUAUGAAUUUUUUUAAAUUAAAAUACUGCAUUGGUGUGGUACUUGGGUUACAGCUGAUGAACCACUAUUGAUAUUAUUAAAUAACAUUCAUAGGCUAUAUUAGGAUUCACUGUUUGUAUUAGACAGUUCUUUGUGUUUUGCCAAUGCAUAAUGUCACAUAUCCACCAUUACCAUAUCACACAGAAUGGUUUUUUGUUUGUUUUGAAAGGGAAUCUCACUCUGUCACCAGGCUGGAGUGCAGUGGCGCAAUCUCGGCUCACUGCAACCUCUGCUUCCCAGGUUCAAGCGGUUCUCCUGCCUCAGCCUCCCGAGUAGCUGGGACUACAGGCGUGCACCACAACGCCCAGCUAAUUUUUGUAUUUUUAGUAGAGACAAGGUUUCACUACAUUGGCCAGGAUGGUCUCUAUCUCUUGACCUCUUGAUCUGCCCGCCUUGGCCUCCCAAAGUGCUGAGAUUACGGGCAUGAGCCACUGUGCCUGGCCUAGUUUUAUUGCCCUACAAAUCCCUGGUGUUUAACCUAUUCUUCUCUUCCCCCCACACUUGACCAAUGGCAACCACUGAUAUUUUUACAUUCUCUAGAGUUUUGCCUUUCCAUAUGUCAAUUAGCUGGAAUCACACAGCAUUUAGCCUUUUUCAGACUGGCUUCUUUUACUUACUAAUAUGCAUUAAGGGUUCCACUGUGUCUUUUUGUGACUUGAAAAAUCAUUUCAUUUUAAUCACUAAAUAAUAUUCCAUUGUAAGGAUAUACCACAAUUUGUUUAUCCAUUCACCUAUUGAAGGACAUCUUGGUUGCUUCUAGUUUUUGGCAAUUAGGAACAAAGUGGUUACAGACAUUUGUGUGCAGGUUUCUGUGUGGGGCUGCCUGUUCAUUUUUUAGUCUUCACCGAUACAGGUACACAAGGAGAGCAGGCCUGGGAACACUGUCCAUUCUGGGCUGCCAUAAGAUACCCUGUGGGCUGCAUGUUUCUGAAAGCUCCUUAAUACCUGUUUGGCUCUCAGCUACCAUUUCUGAUUGUCAGGUAACUUCUGCAGAUGUAUUUUCUUAAGCUUGGUUACUACUAAUGACUGAAAUGUAUCUAUUUCCCUCAAGGCUGCCACUAAAAAUGAGCAGAUUUCCUCUGUUGACUCCUUAGGUGCCAAAACUGGCUCAGAUAAUUAAACAGGGGGAGCAAUUCCCAUAUAGUAAAUGCAGCAACUCCUUAUUUGUCCCAGACGCAUGGACAUUACUUUCCAGGACUGUAAAGCUCCAGUGGAAAUUGUAUUACUUAAAACUUCCAAUGAAGAGUUGCAUUUUGAUGUCUCCACUUCCAUAAAGGGAUUGUAUAAAUUGAGAUCAGCUGCACGUAUGCUCUUGACACUGGCAUUCAGAUAUCUACUUCCACAGCCAAAGGAAGAAUACCAGUACCUGGAAGCUUCCUAUUCUGCUGUAGCCUGUCUCCUUUCAUCUCAGCUUCCAAAUCAACAGAUACAGAUUAAGUAUCCCUUUUCUGAAAUCUUUGGGACCAGGCCAGGCGUGGUGGCUCACGUUUGUAAUCCCAGCACUUGGGGAAGCUGAGGUGGGAGGAUUGCUUGAGCCUAGGAGUUCAAGACCAGCCUGGGCAAAGUAGGCUUUUUGUGAGACCUAGUAUAUGCAAAAAAUAAACAAAAUUAGCUAGGGGUAGUGGCAUGAACCUGUGGUCCUGGCUACUUGGGAGGCUGAGGCAGGAGGAUCAUUUGAGCCCAGGAGGUUGAGGUUCCAAUGAGCCAUGAUGAUGCCACUGCACUCCAGCCUGGGCAACAGAGCAAGACUCUGUCAAAAAAAAAAAAAAAAAAUGAAGGAAAAAGGAAAGGAGAGGAGAGGAGAGGAAAAUACAAAAUGCUUGGGACCAGAAGUGUUUCCAAUUCUGGCAUAUUUGCAUAGACAUAAACACAAUAUUCAUUUAUGAUUUAUAUACAGACAGCUGAAGGUAAUUUUAUACAAUCUUUUAAAAUAAUUGUAUGCAUGAAACAAAGUUUGGACUGCGUUUUGACCGCAAUCUGUCAUGUGAAGUCAGGUGUGGGAUUUUUCCACUUGUGGCAUAUCAUAUUAGUGCUCAAAAAUUUUUGGAUAUUGGAGCAUUUCAGAUUUUGGAUUUUCAGGUUAGGGAUGCUCAACCUGUAGUUGUUAGACCUGUUCCCUUUCACUCAGGAAGUUCACGGUCCCCUGUGUUACAAAGAUGUUCUUGGUCACAUGGAGAACUCUUUUUAUUAUUAUUAUUAUACUUUAAGUUCUAGGGUACAUGUGCAGAACACGCAGGUUUGUUACCUAGGUAUGCAUGUGCCAUGGUGGUUUGCUGUACCCAUCAACUUGUCAUUUACAUUUGAUAUUUCUCCUAAUGCUAUCCCUCCCCCAGCCCCUGAACCCUGACAAGCCCCAGUGUGUGAUGUUCCCCGCCCUGUGUCCAAGUGUUCUCAUUGUUCAAUUCCCACCUAUGAAUGAGAACAUGUGGUGUUUGGUUUUCUGUCCUUGUGAAAGUUUGCUGAGAAUGAUGGUUUCCAGCUUCAUCCAUGUCCCCACAAAGGGCAAGAACUCAUCAUUUUUUAUGGCUGCACAGUAUUCCAUGGCAUAUAGGUCACAUGGAGAAUUCUUUUGUUCAAUCACAUGCUGGUUCUUUGUGCUACUGAAGGCCAUCAUUUUGUUCAGAUUCUGACAUUCUAGAUGCUAGCCUUGUUCAUUUAGAGACAUACAUUUGUGGUAAAUGCAUCAUGGUAGUUGUGACAGAGAAACUAGCUUCCUUUCUUGUAUGGAGAUGAAAUUCAAGAUCUCGGGUGCUUUUUUCAGCAGGGAGUUUGUUUGAAUUACCUGCUUCUUCUGAUGAAUCCUACAAAGGCAUAGCUGGGCACCAAUCUGUUGCAGUACUAUGCUGGAGAAACAGGAUCGGAAAUAUCUUACAGAAGAAAAGAAUGCUUUUCUUUUCCUUCCAUUUUUAAUUUCUUCAUUUAAAAACCAAUACUUAGGUAUAUACCUAAAAGAACUGAAAGCAGGGACUCUAAGAGAUAUCUGUACACUCAUGUUCACAGCAGCAUUAUGCAUAAUAGGCAAAAGGUGGAAGCAAGCCAUGUAUCCGAACUGCAGCUGAAUGGAUAAGCAUAAUGUGGCAUAAACAGACAAUGGGUUAUUAUUCAGCCUUAAAAAGAAAGGAGAUUCUGAUAUACACUGUAACAUGGAUGAACCUUGAAAAUAUUAUACUACGUGGAAUAAAUUAAUCACAAGAGGACAAAUACUAUAUAGGGAUUCCACUUAUAUAGUAUAUUAGUCGGUUUUCACUCUGCUGAUAAAGACAUAAAAAGAGGUUUAAUGGACUCACAGUUCCACGUGGCUGGGGAGGCCUCACAAUCAUGGCAGAAAGUAAAAGUCAUGUCUUACAGGGGCGGCAGGCAAGAGAGAAGCUGGGGCAGGGAAACUCCCCCUUAUAAAACCAUCAGAUCUUGUGAGACUUAUUUACUGUCACAACAGCAGGGAAAACACCCACCCCCAUGAUUCAGUUACCUCCUACUGGGACCCUCCCAUGAUGUGCUGAGAAUUGUGGGAGCAGCAAUUUCGGUGGGUGCCAAGCCAAACCAUGUCAUAUAGGUUCCUAGAAUAAUCAAACUUACACAGGCAGGGUGAUUGCCAGGUACUGUGAGGAGGAGGGAUGGGGAGUUAUGGUAUAACGCAUAUGGAGUUUCACUUUGAGAAGAUAAAAACAUUCUGGAGAUGGAUGGCAGCGAUGGUUGCAAAACAAUGUGAAAAUAAAUGUCAUUAAACUGUACACUCAAAAAAACAGUUAAAAUAGUAUAUUUCAUUCUAUGUAUACUUUAUUACAAUUUUUUAAAACCAAUGUUGCAGUUAAUGCUAUCAAGCUAUAAUACUAUCACCUUAAUCUUGAGUGACCGUUAAGUCCUGGUCACCCCUAGGUUUGCUGAGGCAGUCUCCAUUUAUGCUUCUGUAUUCAGGGCAAUCACUAAUCAUUCCCUCUUCACUCUCAACAGUGUCCUGGCUUGAACAAUAAGUCAUCUGAUCACCCUGGAUCUAUUUCAUAAUUGUAUAAGUCACUGAAUUGCCAUCUUUGUAUGCAAAUGUCUUAACAUUGA